This is a long non-coding RNA of Gymnogyps californianus (California condor), 401 nucleotides long. RefSeq lists it as uncharacterized. NCBI's taxonomy places the organism in Eukaryota, Metazoa, Chordata, Aves, Accipitriformes, Cathartidae. The record is from RefSeq and is a predicted model, not a curated record. The transcript has 3 exons.
UUGUUGUCCUUUAGAGAGUUGCUUAAUUUUAGUCCUAGAGGAGGAUAAUUCUCCACAACUGUUGAGAAGCUGGUGCGAGCACAGAUUUCUUCACCUGAGUUGUCGGCUUCAACUUUCUGACUGGAUCUCCUCACAAGUCUGUCUGCGAGACCGAAGAGCCCUCUUAGGUGCAUGUGCGCCAUGAUAAAACUAUGCCAUGGCUUCCAAAUAGAUUCUCCACUGACAGUCUUAAAAUGAUUCCUCCCGUCCUCCUAUACUGGCUUUUCAUAAUUUGUGCUACAGUGGACAAUCAACAGUUCAAACUGCUGUCUGGAAGAGAAAGUGAGAUCAGCUCAUGGUCAGAAGUUGCUUAUUUACUCAGCAUUUCAAUUUAGGAGUGUCACUGCCACCAAGAGAGUAUG